GACGAACGCUGGCGGCGUGCUUAACACAUGCAAGUCGAACGGAAAGGCCCUGCUUUUGCGGGGUGCUCGAGUGGCGAACGGGGGAGUAACACGUGAGUAACCUGCCCUUGACUGUGGGAUAACUUCAGGAAACUGGGGAUAAUACCGGGUAGGAGCUCCUGCUGCACGGGGGGGGUUGGAAAGUUUCGGCGGUUGGGGAUGGACUCGCGGCUUAUCAGCUUGUUUGUGGGGUAGUGGCUUACCAAGGCUUUGACGGGUAGCCGGCCUGAGAGGGUGACCGGCCUCAAUAGGCCUGAGGUACGGCCCAGUCUCCUACGGGCGGCAGCAGUGGAGAGUAUUGCACAGUGGGCGGGAGCCUGUUGCGGCAGCGCCGCGUGCGGGAUGACGGCCUUCUGGUUGUAAACCGCUUUCGCCUGUGACGAGGCGUGCGUGACGGUAAUGGGUAAAGAAGCACCGGCUAACUACGUG
Molecule: ribosomal RNA, 468 nt
Filed under: uncultured bacterium
Lineage: Bacteria
Description: partial 16S ribosomal RNA
Rfam family: Bacterial small subunit ribosomal RNA
Source: RNAcentral